This 253-nucleotide ribosomal RNA is filed under the name uncultured bacterium. Its description in RNAcentral is "partial 16S ribosomal RNA". It matches the Rfam family "Bacterial small subunit ribosomal RNA", at positions 524 to 776 of the family's 1533-position model. The record is from RNAcentral.
GACGAACCGUGCGAACGUUGUUCGGAAUCACUGGGCUUAAAGGGCGCGUAGGCGGGUUCGCAAGUCUGUGGUGAAAGCCUCCAGCUCAACUGGAGAAGUGCCGUGGAUACUGCGAGCCUCGAGGAGGGUAGGGGCAUCUGGAACAGUAGGUGGAGCGGUGAAAUGCGUUGAUAUCUACUGGAACUCCGGUGGCGAAGGCGAGGUGCUGGACCCUUUCUGACGCUGAUGCGCGAAAGCCAGGGGAGCGAACGGG